CGUGAGUGAUGAAGGCCUUUGGGUUGUAAAGCACUUUUAGCAGGGAAGAAGACCUAACGGUUAAUACCCGUUAGCCAUGACAUUACCUGCACAAUAAGCACCGGC
This 105-nucleotide ribosomal RNA is filed under the name uncultured Gammaproteobacteria bacterium. Its description in RNAcentral is "partial 16S ribosomal RNA". The record is from RNAcentral. Lineage: Bacteria; Pseudomonadati; Pseudomonadota; Gammaproteobacteria.